CGCAAGCCUGACGGAGCAACGCCGCGUGAGGGAUGAAGGCCUCUGGGCUGUAAACCUCUUUUCUCAAGGAAGAAGAUCUGACGGUACUUGAGGAAUAAGCCACGGCUAAUUCCGUGCCAGCAGCCGCGGUAAUACGGGAGUGGCAAGCGUUAUCCGGAAUUAUUGGGCGUAAAGCGUCCGCAGGCGGCCUUGAAAGUCUGUCGUUAAAGCGUGGAGCUCAACUCCAUUUCAGCGAUGGAAACUGUAAGACUCGAGUGUGGUAGGGGCAGAGGGAAUUCCCGGUGUAGCGGUGAAAUGCGUAGAUAUCGGGAAGAACACCAGUGGCGAAAGCGCUCUGCUGGGCCAUAACUGACGCUCAUGGACGAAAGCCAGGGGAGCGAAAG
This 383-nucleotide ribosomal RNA is filed under the name uncultured bacterium. RNAcentral's name for it is "bacterial SSU rRNA". It matches the Rfam family "Bacterial small subunit ribosomal RNA", at positions 376 to 774 of the family's 1533-position model. The record is from RNAcentral.